GAUGAACGCUAGCGGCAGGCCUAACACAUGCAAGUCGAGGGAGAGGUUACCUUCGGGUAACCAAAACCGGCGCACGGGUGCGUAACGCGUAUACAAUCUGCCUUUCACAUAGGGAUAGCCCGAAGAAAUUUGGAUUAAUACCUAAUGGUAUAUAAGAGCGGCAUCGUUUUUAUAUUAAAGCUACGGUGGUGAAAGAUGAGUAUGCGUUCUAUUAGCUAGUUGGAGAGGUAACGGCUCCCCAAGGCGACGAUAGAUAGGGGUUCUGAGAGGGAUGUCCCCCACACUGGUACUGAGAUACGGACCAGACUCCUACGGGAGGCAGCAGUAAGGAAUAUUGGACAAUGGUCGGAAGACUGAUCCAGCCAUGCCGCGUGCAGGAUGAAGGUCCUAUGGAUUGUAAACUGCUUUUGUAAGGGAAGAAUAAGGAGUACGUGUACUUUGAUGACGGUACCUUACGAAUAAGCAUCGGCUAACUCCGUG
This 480-nucleotide ribosomal RNA is filed under the name uncultured bacterium. RNAcentral's name for it is "partial 16S ribosomal RNA". It matches the Rfam family "Bacterial small subunit ribosomal RNA", at positions 28 to 507 of the family's 1533-position model. The record is from RNAcentral.